UCUACGGGUGGCAGCAGUGAGGAAUAUUGGGCAAUGGACGAGAGUCUGAACCAGCCAAGUAGCGUGAAGGAUGACUGCCCUAUGGGUUGUAAACUUCUUUUAUAUGGGAGUAAAAUGUUCCACGUGUGGGAUUUUGUAUGUACCAUAUGAAUAAGGAACGGCUAACUCCGGGCCAGCAGCAGCGGUAAUACGGCGGCUGCGAGCGUUAUCCGGAUUUAGUGGGGUUAAAGGGAGCGCAGGUGGAUUGUUAAGUGAGGGGGUAAAGUUUGCGGCGCAAACGUAAAAUUGCAGUUGAAACUGGCAGUCUUGAGUACAGGAGAGGGGGGCGGAAUUCGUGGUGUAGCGGUGAAAUGCUAAGAUAUCACGAAGAACUCCGAUUGCGAAGGCAGCUCACUGGACUGCAACUGACACUGAGGCUCGAAAGUGUGGGUAUCAAACAGGAUUAGAUACCCGGGUAGUC
RNAcentral lists this ribosomal RNA (460 nucleotides) under uncultured bacterium. RNAcentral's name for it is "partial 16S ribosomal RNA". It matches the Rfam family "Bacterial small subunit ribosomal RNA", at positions 338 to 795 of the family's 1533-position model. The record is from RNAcentral.